UCUCUCUCUCCUCUUCACUGUACUUCCUCCCUUCCAUGCGCCACCAUGAGUCCCAUCUUAAAUAUGACCCAUCUUCCCUUCCUCACCAGCUGUCUUGUGUAUUUCUGUGUCAACACAGCACACGCGAGAGAGACCCACCUGCUCUUCUUGCUCUUGUGUGCUGAAUACGGUGUGAUGGUUUCUUUGCCUUCAUGUGGAUUUGGCAAAGGGUUUCUUACAGAGUUUAUUGGCAUUCUGUCCACCUCCUUCAUCCAAUGGGGAAGAAAAAACGAUAGAGUGAAACCCUGUUGUUUUUAAAGGGGAAAAAAGGAAAAAAUCCUCCAUGUUUCGCUUGUUUCGAAGGAGGUGGGCAUACUGCCAAGUGAGCUCUGUUGGACUCUCUUUGUGAAAACCCUCGUGAUAUAUAUCUUGUUGUGUUGAUUUGUUUUUCCUAGGUUUUCUUCUGGUACUUAAUACUGUUGAGGAAAUCAAAGAUCAAGUGAUGAAAAGAGAUCCGAGGAGAUGAAACGUCAAGAAUCAUCACAAAAGUACCAAGAAAAGCAGAAACAGAUCUUUCUACUUGUGUGAAGUCGUGAAGGUUUGAGCUAAUCAUAUUUACAGCUGGCUUCUCUAUCUCUCCCUCUCUCUCCCUCCCUCGCCCGCCUUAAAUUUCUUUGGUGGAACUACCAUAAGCCAUGAAUCACUGAUGAUCAUUUCUUUCAGUUGCUGGCUUGAGCAGAACUCGGUUCUUAACUAAGGAUCUGGAAGGUUGCUCCUAAUCUCUCUCUCUCUCUCUCUCAUUUUGUCAGAUGAUUGCUUGGAGUAGGAUCAUGAUUGAGGGCUGACAAUAGACACUGAGGUGGAAAGUGAAAACCUUCCUUCUUUGCCAAAUAAAAAAAAAAAUUCAGGCAAACUCUUGGUAAGAAAAAAAUUAAAAUUUUUUGCGAGACAACAUUAGGUUGUGUACUUUUUUUUUAUUUUACAAAUUUUGCGCUUUAGUACGACGUGACUGCAGUAAUGACGUAGUAAAAUAGAGAAACCGCUUCUGAACGUGGUGCCAUUAGUUUUCUAUGAUUGCUUAGUACUAUUAUAUUUCUUCAAAAUUUAGAGAUAUGAGAUGUCUUCAUUAAGAAAAUUUUCUUAGAAAACUCUAUUUGGAAAUGCUCGUUUCAAUAUUUUAAAGGAUUUCUUAUAGUCGACGUUUAGUUUCAUUUGAAGGACUAUGAAUUCUCUAUGGCGUAUCUUGUGUCAAUUGAUAUGUGUGUGGACUUAUUUUUUCCAUUUUUGAUUGUUUGGCCAUGUUUCUAUCUUCUAUGUUGUCUGUGAUUUUUUUCAAAAUAAAAACAUAAACCUCUUACAUUCCUGUCAAAAUUCAAAAGACUAUUUAAUAUUUAAAAAUUUAUGAAAAAAGUUGUAUGUGGAUUUUUGUGUGUAUGCUUUGGAAGUUUCAUAUGAUUUUGGUAAAAAAGAAGUCAAAAUGUAUAAGAUUUAGAUUUGGUGAAGAGUAAAAAGUGAUAAUCUAUUUAGUAAACACCUUUUUUACUUUUCGUGAAUAAUUCUUACAGAUGCAUUUCAGGUGAAGGUGUCAUGAGAGAGUUUUCUUUUUUUGGGUCGAAGUCAUUAGAGUUUUUUCUUUUUUUGGUCGAAAGAGUCAUUAGAGUUGACCGUUCCAUAUAUUGCGCAAGCACGGUUGUUUCUGCUACGUAUUUGCCUCUUAAGGUCAAUUUUGCCUCCUUUUCUUGGUCAAAGAAGAGUGCAGAUCUUGAGAUGGAGAUUGUGUGUAAAUGCGGGUCUGUCUUUCUUUUUAGAUCUAACUGGUUUUACCGGAGAACAGAAAAUUUUGCUGCUAAAGUUUGACCAGGAACUUAUUGCAAAAAAUGCAUUGCGCAUAUUAUGCCUAUCAUCUACAAUCCAAGUGAAGGGAAGGAGAAGUAGGAUGGAGUGGGAAGUUGGUAGAUUUACAUAGUGAUUGUGCGUAUCGAAAGAUGAAUCACCUCUUGCUUUAGGCACAGAUUCCUCGGUAUCAACAAUGUAGAGUGAAGGUUGACGUUUGAAUAUGAAACAAGAAACUGGUAGAAAACGAGAGAAGUCUCUAGUAUGCCUACUUUACACGUGAUUGUGAACAAACGUGAUUUCCUCUGAAAGCCCGUGAAAAUGGCGUGCCCUGUCUUCUCACCUACAGUAGGCUCAAGAAGAUCGUAAUUUCCUCACGCAUGCGCCGAAGUUUAAGAACUUAUGGUUUACUUUAAAACCCCUGUUGGGGUCUUUCUUUCUUUGGCCUUGUUCUACUGAUAAAGUUCAGCGGCUGAAGGGUCCCUCUCCCGACCCUCACCAUGCAGUUUUCACGCUUUUUAUCUGGCUCCCAGAGAAUGAUUUUGUGUAUUAUUCCCUUCGACUUCGAUGCUUAUGGUUGAAUUUGAGUCAAAGACGACUUGCCACUCCAAGAGUUAGCAAUCAUGCGCUCCCACUACACAUUAUGGUGUUCCUCUCUUUCUCUGUCUGGUGUGUUCCACCUUUAACCAUGGAUUGAAGAGCAUGCUACUGGGUCAAAUAAUGUGCUAAGUUGGGCUCGAAAUGACAAAAUCAUUUAUAAUGACAUUUGCUGUCUCUUGAA
This is a long non-coding RNA of Syzygium oleosum, 2593 nucleotides long. RefSeq lists it as uncharacterized. The transcript has 2 exons. Lineage: Eukaryota; Viridiplantae; Streptophyta; Magnoliopsida; Myrtales; Myrtaceae. The record is from RefSeq and is a predicted model, not a curated record.